UGCGACACAACCAAGUAUAGGAGGUCCAGCCUGCCCAGUGACUACAAGUUCAACGGCCGCGGUAUUUUGACCGUGCAAAGGUAGCGCAAUCACUUGUCUUUUAAAUAGAGACCUGUAUGAAUGGCUAAACGAGGGCUUAACUGUCUCCCCUUUCCAGUCAGUGAAAUUGAUCUACCCGUGCAGAAGCGGGUAUAAUAAUACAAGACGAGAAGACCCUUUGGAGCUUAAGGUACAAAACUCAACCACGUUAAGCAACUCAAUAAAAAGUGAAAACUUUGUGGAACAUGAGAUUUUACCUUCGGUUGGGGCGACCACGGAGGAAAAAAGAGCCUCCAGGUGGAACGGGAGAAUUUCCUAAAACUAAGAGAGACAUCUCUAAGCCACAGAACAUCUGACCAAAUAUGAUCCGGCUAAUACAAGCCGAUCAACGAACCAAGUUACCCUAGGGAUAACAGCGCAAUCCUCUCCCAGAGUCCAUAUCGACGAGGGGGUUUACGACCUCGAUGUUGGAUCAGGACAUCCUAAUGGUGCAGCCGCUAUUAAGGGUUCGUUUGUUCAACG
RNAcentral lists this ribosomal RNA (561 nucleotides) under Carassius gibelio (silver crucian carp). RNAcentral describes it as "partial large subunit ribosomal RNA". It matches the Rfam family "Bacterial large subunit ribosomal RNA", at positions 1824 to 2586 of the family's 2925-position model. Lineage: Eukaryota; Metazoa; Chordata; Actinopteri; Cypriniformes; Cyprinidae. The record is from RNAcentral.